AGAACGAACGCUGGCGGCAUGCCUAAUACAUGCAAGUCGAACGAACUCUUCGGAGUUAGUGGCGCACGGGUGCGUAACGCGUGGGAAUCUGCCCCUUGGUUCGGAAUAACAGUUGGAAACGACUGCUAAUACCGGAUGAUGACGAAAGUCCAAAGAUUUAUCGCCAAGGGAUGAGCCCGCGUAGGAUUAGCUAGUUGGUGAGGUAAAGGCUCACCAAGGCAACGAUCCUUAGCUGGUCUGAGAGGAUGAUCAGCCACACUGGGACUGAGACACGGCCCAGACUCCUACGGGAGCAGCAGUAGGGAAUAUUGGACAAUGGGCGAAAGCCUGAUCCAGCAAUGCCGCGUGAGUGAUGAAGGCCUUAGGGU
Molecule: ribosomal RNA, 368 nt
Filed under: uncultured soil bacterium
Lineage: Bacteria
Description: bacterial SSU rRNA
Rfam family: Bacterial small subunit ribosomal RNA
Source: RNAcentral